UUAAGUUCAGCGGGUAGUCCUACCUGAUUUGAGGUCAGAUUUCAAAGAGUGUUGACCACCUCUCCAAAGGUGAGUCGUGGGAGGACACGGAAGGGGAACUUCUCGGUCAGAGCGAGGAUGAUACAACGCCCAAUCGAGUCCGACCCGCAGGUCCAACCGACGCAUUUGAGGGGAGCAGCCUCGCGGCAGCAAGCCCCCAU
This 200-nucleotide unclassified non-coding RNA is filed under the name Trechisporales sp. Its description in RNAcentral is "partial internal transcribed spacer 2". Lineage: Eukaryota; Fungi; Basidiomycota; Agaricomycetes; Trechisporales. The record is from RNAcentral.